GGUAGAUGUGUGAUUGUGGAGGAUGGGAAGGUGAUUUCAUCCGGUAGCAACAAGACAAAUGCCACCCGGAAUGUAUGCAUGCUCUUACAUCUUCGGUUAGGAAUAUUUUUGCUCUUAGAUUAUUAUUAUUAUUAUUAUUAUUAUUAUUAUUAUUAUUAUUAUUAUUAUUAUUAUUAUUAUUAUUAUUAUUAUUAUUAUUAUUAUUAUUAUUAUUAUUAUUAUUAUUAUUAUUAUUAUUAUUAUUAUUAUUAUUAUUAUUAUUAUUAUUAUUAUUAUUAUUAUUAUUAUUUCUUUUGAACGAACCAGCAUUAAACAUGCCAAUUUCAUUAAAUAGAGCAGGAGUAAAAAUUUUGUACAGGUGUAAAAGAAAACCUGUAAUUGAUACCAACUGCAUUUACAUGUAAAAGAUUUUUUUUUGCUCUUAGAUUAAAGCUGUAAUUUGAUUGUGCCUGUACCGAUU
Molecule: long non-coding RNA, 460 nt
Filed under: Oryza sativa (Asian cultivated rice)
Lineage: Eukaryota; Viridiplantae; Streptophyta; Magnoliopsida; Poales; Poaceae
Description: long non-coding RNA (OSAT_LNC000546)
Source: RNAcentral